UAAAAUAAGUAAAGGAGAAGAAUCCCAAGUACACAUUUAGCUGCCUGCACACCGCAUCGCAGAGGAGAGAGAGAGAGAGAGAGAAAGAGCUGCGGCGGCGGCACAGCAGGGGAAGCAUCAGACCAGACGCCGCAGUAGAAGAGGAGGGCGACCCCAGGCCACCUAUAUCUAUCUCUUUCUAUUCAUCCUCUAUAAAUAUAUGCAGGUAUAAUUAUAUGGCCAAUUAGAUAGAGAUUAGAGAGGGGUAGAGAGGCAGUGGGGAAGGAAAUUUUGUAUAGGAGAGAGGGAGGGUAGUUGAUGGGAAGGGUUUGAUGUGAUUGCGCUUUCUCUUCUCUUUGCUUCCUGGAUCCAACCGCCGCCGCCGCCGCCGCCUACUGUCGUCGGCGACUCGGAGCUCUUGGAUUGGAUGCAUUCUUCUUCCUAGAUCGGAGCAAGACACGCGGUGUAAAUCUCGAGAGGAGGAAGGGGAUCGAGGCGGCUCGGUUCUUGUUGUUGCCGCGUCCGGUUCUCUCAAGAACCAGCGGCGAGGAUGGAUCUCUGCGGCAAGAGAGAGGACAUGGCGCUGCAAGGCGGGGAUUCCAGCCUCACGCCCCGCGCUUCGCGGGGCGACUGCGAGAUGCAGUCGCGGUGGGCGGAGGGCCUCCUCGACGGUGGCGGCCGGAAGCGCCGCGCGCCGGAGGAAUCCGAGGACGAUGUCCGGGAAAUGGAUGAGGUGGAUUGCGGUGGCAAGCGGAGCAAGCCGCCGUCGCCGCAGCCGCACACCCCGGACAUCCGUGAGGCUCAUGCCCCCAGCCGCUGCCGCACAGCGGCCGGCAGUGGGGGUGACCUCAUAGGAGAAAUCGGCCGGGACCUGUCCAUCAACUGCCUCCUCCGGCUGUCCCGGUCGGAAUAUGGCUCGGUGGCAUCGUUGAACCGGGAUUUUUGGUCUCUGGUGCGUGGAGGGGAUAUUUACAGGCUGCGGCGGCAGAAUAACAUCUCUGAACAUUGGGUGUACUUCUCCUGCAAUGUUCUGGAGUGGGAUGCAUAUGACCCCUACCGGGAGCGCUGGAUGACGGUGCCUAAGAUGCCGUCUGACGAGUGCUUCAUGUGCUCGGACAAGGAGUCUUUGGCUGUGGGCACCGAGCUGCUUGUAUUUGGGAUGGCGCACAUUGUCUUCAGAUACAGCAUACUGACAAACUCUUGGACACGAGGCGAGGUGAUGAAUUCGCCACGGUGUCUGUUUGGGUCAGCAAGCGUUGGUGAGAAGGCAUAUGUUGCUGGUGGCACUGAUUCUCUUGGCAGGAUCCUCAGCUCAGCAGAGCUGUACAACUCUGAAACACAUACUUGGACACCCCUUCCUAGCAUGAACAGGGCACGAAAAAAUUGCUCUGGCGUGUUCAUGGAUGGCAAGUUUUAUGUGAUUGGCGGUGUGACCAACAACAACAUGAUCUUGACCUGUGGUGAAGAGUAUGAUGUGCAGAGCAAGUCUUGGAGGGUGAUUGAGAACAUGUCUGGGGGUCUAAAUGGAGUGAGUGGUGCACCCCCGCUUAUUUCAGUGGUGAAGAAUGAGCUGUACGCCGCUGAUUAUAGUGAGAAGGAUGUGAAGAAGUACGACAAGCAUAAUAAUAAGUGGAUCACUCUUGGUAAAUUGCCUGAGCGAUCUGUGUCCAUGAAUGGCUGGGGCCUUGCAUUCAGGGCAUGCGGUGAGAGGCUGAUCGUCAUUGGUGGACCAAGAACUUCUGUUGGGGGCAUGAUUGAGCUCAACUCGUGGAUUCCCGAUGACAAGCCACCUGUGUGGAAUUUGAUUGCCAGACGGCCAUCUGGGAAUUUUGUGUAUAAUUGUGCUGUGAUGGGCUGCUGAGUUCACUGGAUCAAGGGUCCGCACAGUGUUGUUUACAAAGAGAGAAGCUGAUGCUCAUGACCUGAUUACAAACAAUCAUGCUUCACGACUCUAAACUUGUGAUUGUUAACUAUCGAUAGGCUUUUACAACUUUAUCCUGUGGAAUGGAAUCACUUUAUGAUGGAGGUACGCAAGUUGUGCAUGUAUGCAUUAUUGUCCUUGUGUGCGGCGUGAAGCUUCCUCCUUUGACUCUGAACACUAACGUUAUCCAUUCUCUUUUUCCAUAUGAUUUGGUGCUUGCUUUAGCUACUGCUGCUGAUGUUUGCAACAUUUGACAGAAUGCAUUGCAUUUAGAACUGGACUUCGAUAAUUUUGCUGUUAGUCAUAUUUCUGUUAUACUGAUAUGGAGUUCAACUUUGUGCAUGCUCGCUUGUUGAAACAUGAAAAGGAAAAUUGUUUGGUUGGAUAUUUGUAACCUUCAUCCUGUGCAUGUCAGAUGGUUGUCUUUGUUUAGCUGUCAGGUCUUGCACUUCCUGUUUGCAACGUUACCACCCGUUGCACAUUCUGGAAUGACGUCUAUGCAGCAGUUGAACCAUUUUCUGAACUUUCAAAGUUAUGCAGUUGUCUGAACUAAUUUUUUCCUUUUAGUUGAGUCUUACGGUGAAACACUGAAAUGUCGCACAUAUGCCACAUCUUUUUGUUUUGCCAGCACGGAAUAUCUCAGUCGAGAAUUUGAUUAAAGCUAGGAAAAAUGCGCUGUCCGGUGGAAUUUCAGGAUUGGCAAUGUGUGAAAGGCAUAAACAUUGGAUGGAAUGGUCUGGAAAAGUUGUUUUUGGCCUCUUCUUGCAGGGGCGUGUAGAUGAGAUGGACGCAAUCGUAACGGCUUCUGUUUCUAGCUGCAACUUGCAGAAAACAAACUUUUUUUUCUCCUUUUCCUUUGGUUUCUCACCAUUAUCAUCAGCAUCUUUUCUGCCUUUAUGUUUUUCCUCAGCUGACGUUUGAAAUUUUCACGCUCGUCGGCGCAGCCCCAUCAGCAAGGGGCAAAAAAAGUACCUUCAUGUUCCCACUGUGGUGGUGUGGUUUCGGCGUUUCGCUUUCAUUGAAGGUUUUUCCGAGUCAGCAAUUGCGGUUCAGAAUCUCUCGUGGUUAAGCUGAACAUGUGCUGCAGAAAUGCCAAAUGGCCCAUUUCGAGUUCUCGGGAUGCUCCUCUCCGUUAGCAAAUUCUGAGAUCUGCUCAGGCACUUAAAUAUCUCCAGCAGAUUACUCAUCUCUUAUAUCUUAUAUAUUUUCUCUCUCCAUCACCAAUAAUAUU
Molecule: RNA transcript, 3131 nt
Organism: Panicum hallii
Lineage: Eukaryota; Viridiplantae; Streptophyta; Magnoliopsida; Poales; Poaceae
Gene name: F-box/kelch-repeat protein SKIP11-like
Exons: 4
Source: RefSeq, a predicted model, not a curated record